UGUGAGGGGAGGUGGUGGUGGCUGAUGGUGAGAACAUGGAUCCAAGCCCCUUGGAAACAUUGAAAAUAUGGAGCCCCUUCUCUUCCUGGUCCCCGCACUAUCCUUCAGACGGCCGUGCUGUGCCGAGCCGUCAAAGACCCUGUAAUAUCAACUCAACAAUGCAUGUACUACAACUACAGCUACGGCUACCAGUACAUCUACUACGGUGCAUGCAUUUAGUUCAGUCCCACAGAUACAUACAAUCUAAGAACAGGCAGGGGAGGUGUGAAAUGUUUUACUGGACAACAGGUGUUUUGGAGUUGUAACACAUUUCUUGAGAGUUGGAUAUGAGUUUGUUUCUUGAACUGUUUCAUCUGAACAAGCAAAAACAUGCAAACCAGCUGGUACUAACAGGAAGCUGGACACUGAGAGAGGAUUAAUAGGUGUGGACAAACCUUCCCGCUGAGCGUGCUCAGAAGAGUGUUUGAGAGGAGGUGUGCAGAUCCUAGCGUAAGAGAGGCGGGAAAGUAUGCCUCAGAGACACUCUCACCGCAGCCCCAACCAAGCAAGAGAAAAGACAACAGAAAUAUGACUGCUCACACUCACCACCACCAUCAGGAGCUCAUGUUACUAGAUUGGAAUAAAGCUGGCAAGUAUAAAGUACAG
Molecule: long non-coding RNA, 645 nt
Filed under: Homo sapiens (human)
Lineage: Eukaryota; Metazoa; Chordata; Mammalia; Primates; Hominidae
Description: HSALNT0242968
Source: RNAcentral